RNAcentral lists this ribosomal RNA (2902 nucleotides) under Klebsiella pneumoniae. RNAcentral describes it as "23S ribosomal RNA". It matches the Rfam family "Bacterial large subunit ribosomal RNA". Lineage: Bacteria; Pseudomonadati; Pseudomonadota; Gammaproteobacteria; Enterobacterales; Enterobacteriaceae. The record is from RNAcentral.
GGUUAAGCGACUAAGCGUACACGGUGGAUGCCCUGGCAGUCAGAGGCGAUGAAGGACGUGCUAAUCUGCGAAAAGCGUCGGUAAGGUGAUAUGAACCGUUAUAACCGGCGAUGUCCGAAUGGGGAAACCCAGUGCAAUUCGUUGCACUAUCGUUAACUGAAUACAUAGGUUAACGAGGCGAACCGGGGGAACUGAAACAUCUAAGUACCCCGAGGAAAAGAAAUCAACCGAGAUUCCCCCAGUAGCGGCGAGCGAACGGGGAGCAGCCCAGAGUCUGAAUCAGCUUGUGUGUUAGUGGAACGGUCUGGAAAGUCCGACGGUACAGGGUGAUAGUCCCGUACACCAAAAUGCACAGGUUGUGAACUCGAAGAGUAGGGCGGGACACGUGGUAUCCUGUCUGAAUAUGGGGGGACCAUCCUCCAAGGCUAAAUACUCCUGACUGACCGAUAGUGAACCAGUACCGUGAGGGAAAGGCGAAAAGAACCCCGGCGAGGGGAGUGAAAAAGAACCUGAAACCGUGUACGUACAAGCAGUGGGAGCACCUUCGGGUGUGACUGCGUACCUUUUGUAUAAUGGGUCAGCGACUUAUAUUCUGUAGCAAGGUUAACCGUAUAGGGGAGCCGCAGGGAAACCGAGUCUUAACUGGGCGUUAAGUUGCAGGGUAUAGACCCGAAACCCGGUGAUCUAGCCAUGGGCAGGUUGAAGGUUGGGUAACACUAACUGGAGGACCGAACCGACUAAUGUUGAAAAAUUAGCGGAUGACUUGUGGCUGGGGGUGAAAGGCCAAUCAAACCGGGAGAUAGCUGGUUCUCCCCGAAAGCUAUUUAGGUAGCGCCUCGUGAAUUCAUCUUCGGGGGUAGAGCACUGUUUCGGCUAGGGGGUCAUCCCGACUUACCAACCCGAUGCAAACUACGAAUACCGAAGAAUGUUAUCACGGGAGACACACGGCGGGUGCUAACGUCCGUCGUGAAGAGGGAAACAACCCAGACCGCCAGCUAAGGUCCCAAAGUCAUGGUUAAGUGGGAAACGAUGUGGGAAGGCACAGACAGCCAGGAUGUUGGCUUAGAAGCAGCCAUCAUUUAAAGAAAGCGUAAUAGCUCACUGGUCGAGUCGGCCUGCGCGGAAGAUGUAACGGGGCUAAACCAUGCACCGAAGCUGCGGCAGCGACACUAUGUGUUGUUGGGUAGGGGAGCGUUCUGUAAGCCUGCGAAGGUGACCUGUGAGGGUUGCUGGAGGUAUCAGAAGUGCGAAUGCUGACAUAAGUAACGAUAAAGCGGGUGAAAAGCCCGCUCGCCGGAAGACCAAGGGUUCCUGUCCAACGUUAAUCGGGGCAGGGUGAGUCGACCCCUAAGGCGAGGCCGAAAGGCGUAGUCGAUGGGAAACAGGUUAAUAUUCCUGUACUUGGUGUUACUGCGAAGGGGGGACGGAGAAGGCUAUGUUAGCCGGGCGACGGUUGUCCCGGUUUAAGCAUGUAGGCUGGUUGUCCAGGCAAAUCCGGAUAAUCAAGGCUGAGGUGUGAUGACGAGGCACUACGGUGCUGAAGUAACAAAUGCCCUGCUUCCAGGAAAAGCCUCUAAGCAUCAGGUAACAUCAAAUCGUACCCCAAACCGACACAGGUGGUCAGGUAGAGAAUACCAAGGCGCUUGAGAGAACUCGGGUGAAGGAACUAGGCAAAAUGGUGCCGUAACUUCGGGAGAAGGCACGCUGGUGUGUAGGUGAAGCCCCUGCGGGUGGAGCUGAGACCAGUCGAAGAUACCAGCUGGCUGCAACUGUUUAUUAAAAACACAGCACUGUGCAAACACGAAAGUGGACGUAUACGGUGUGACGCCUGCCCGGUGCCGGAAGGUUAAUUGAUGGGGUUAUCCGUAAGGAGAAGCUCUUGAUCGAAGCCCCGGUAAACGGCGGCCGUAACUAUAACGGUCCUAAGGUAGCGAAAUUCCUUGUCGGGUAAGUUCCGACCUGCACGAAUGGCGUAAUGAUGGCCAGGCUGUCUCCACCCGAGACUCAGUGAAAUUGAACUCGCUGUGAAGAUGCAGUGUACCCGCGGCAAGACGGAAAGACCCCGUGAACCUUUACUAUAGCUUGACACUGAACAUUGAGCCUUGAUGUGUAGGAUAGGUGGGAGGCUUUGAAGCGUGGACGCCAGUCUGCGUGGAGCCAACCUUGAAAUACCACCCUUUAAUGUUUGAUGUUCUAACGUUGGCCCCUUACCGGGGUUGCGGACAGUGUCUGGUGGGUAGUUUGACUGGGGCGGUCUCCUCCCAAAGCGUAACGGAGGAGCACGAAGGUUAGCUAAUCCUGGUCGGACAUCAGGAGGUUAGUGCAAUGGCAUAAGCUAGCUUGACUGCGAGCGUGACGGCGCGAGCAGGUGCGAAAGCAGGUCAUAGUGAUCCGGUGGUUCUGAAUGGAAGGGCCAUCGCUCAACGGAUAAAAGGUACUCCGGGGAUAACAGGCUGAUACCGCCCAAGAGUUCAUAUCGACGGCGGUGUUUGGCACCUCGAUGUCGGCUCAUCACAUCCUGGGGCUGAAGUAGGUCCCAAGGGUAUGGCUGUUCGCCAUUUAAAGUGGUACGCGAGCUGGGUUUAGAACGUCGUGAGACAGUUCGGUCCCUAUCUGCCGUGGGCGCUGGAGAAUUGAGGGGGGCUGCUCCUAGUACGAGAGGACCGGAGUGGACGCAUCACUGGUGUUCGGGUUGUCAUGCCAAUGGCACUGCCCGGUAGCUAAAUGCGGAAGAGAUAAGUGCUGAAAGCAUCUAAGCACGAAACUUGCCCCGAGAUGAGUUCUCCCUGAGACUUUAAGUCUCCUGAAGGAACGUUGAAGACGACGACGUUGAUAGGCCGGGUGUGUAAGCGCAGCGAUGCGUUGAGCUAACCGGUACUAAUGAACCGUGAGGCUUAACCUU